This 345-nucleotide long non-coding RNA is filed under the name Homo sapiens (human). RNAcentral's name for it is "non-protein coding lnc-KCNMB1-3:2". The record is from RNAcentral. Lineage: Eukaryota; Metazoa; Chordata; Mammalia; Primates; Hominidae.
GCUGACUCUUUUCAGACGCAGCCUGCCUGCACCCAGGUGAAAUAAACAGCCAUGUUGCUCACACAAAGCCUGUUUGGUGGUCUCUUCACACGGACAUGCAUGAAAUUUGGUGCCGUGACUCGGAUCGGGGGACCUCCCUUGGGAGAUCAAUCCCCUGUCCUCCUGCUCUUUGCUCCGUGAAAAAGAUCCACCUAUGACCUCAGGUCCUCAGACCCACCAGCCCAAGGAACAGCUCACCAAUUUUAAAUAGGAGAAGUUUACAAAACAAGGAGGAAGACUUCUACACCUCACAGCCAGGAUUCCCUGCUCUGGCUCUCGGCUGCUGCCUCAGGGUGAAUCUGUUGC